This 460-nucleotide ribosomal RNA is filed under the name uncultured bacterium. RNAcentral describes it as "partial 16S ribosomal RNA". It matches the Rfam family "Bacterial small subunit ribosomal RNA", at positions 338 to 795 of the family's 1533-position model. The record is from RNAcentral.
ACUACGGGAGGCAGCAGUGAGGAAUAUUGGUCAAUGGACGCAAGUCUGAACCAGCCAUGCCGCGUGCAGGAAGACGGCUCUAUUAGUUGUAAACUGCUUUUGUACGAGGGUAAACGCAGAUACGCGUAUCUGUCUGAAAGUAUCGUAAGAAUAAGGAUCGGCGAACUCCGUGCCAGCAGCCGCGGUAAUAAUGAGGAUUCAAGCGUUAUCCGGAUUUCUUGGGUUUAAAGGGUGCGUAUGCGGUCGGAUAAGUUAGAGGUGAAAUCCCGAGGCUCAAUUUCGGAAUUGCCUCUGAUACUGUUCGGCUAGAGAGUAGUUGCGGUAGGCGGAAGGUAUGGUGUAGCGGUGAAAUGCUUAGAGAUCAUACAGAACACCGAUUGCGAAGGCAGCUUACCAAGCUACUUCUGACGUUGAGGCACGAAAGCGUGGGGAGCAAACAGGAUUAGAUACCCGGGUAGUC